Molecule: long non-coding RNA, 295 nt
Organism: Frieseomelitta varia
Lineage: Eukaryota; Metazoa; Arthropoda; Insecta; Hymenoptera; Apidae
Exons: 2
Source: RefSeq, a predicted model, not a curated record
UUCGACGUUCGGCGCGCGACUGACUGCUGGGACGAUUUCAAACUGGGCGAAGCAUGACGUCAGAGUCUACGCAUCCGCGCGCGCUCCGCCAGCCAAUCAGCGCUCGGCUGCCGUUUCGACGAUCCGCGUUCGCCUCGGAAUUGCUGUGUUCUUCGACAAAGAUGAUCAUGACCUCGUAAAUCUUGACUGCUGGCUGACGAUUGGUCGGAAAGAGUUACGCGUUUUAUACGCGCGCGCGUGUGUGUGUGUGCAUGAAAAUGAAGAAUUAAGAACGUAAUUAACAAGCGAAAUAAGA